RNAcentral lists this ribosomal RNA (301 nucleotides) under uncultured bacterium. Its description in RNAcentral is "partial 16S ribosomal RNA". It matches the Rfam family "Bacterial small subunit ribosomal RNA", at positions 509 to 809 of the family's 1533-position model. The record is from RNAcentral.
CAGUAGCCGCGGUAAUACGUAGGUCCCGAGCGUUGUCCGGAUUUAUUGGCGUAAAGCGAGCGCAGGCGGUUAGAUAAGUCUGAAGUUAAAGGCUGUGGCUUAACCAUAGUACGCUUUGGAAACUGUUUAACUUGAGUGCAAGAGGGGAGAGUGGAAUUCCAUGUGUAGCGGUGAAAUGCGUAGAUAUAUGGAGGAACACCGGUGGCGAAGGCGGCUACCUGGACUGACACUGACACUGAGGCGCGAAAGCGUGGGGAGCAAACAGGAUUAGAUACCCCCGUAGUCCCUGUCUCUUAUACAC